AUUGAACGCUGGCGGCAGGCCUAACACAUGCAAGUCGAGCGGAUGAAGGGAGCUUGCUCCUGGAUUCAGCGGCGGACGGGUGAGUAAUGCCUAGGAAUCUGCCUGGUAGUGGGGGAUAACGUCCGGAAACGGGCGCUAAUAUCGCAUACGUCCUGAGGGAGAAAGUGGGGGAUCUUCGGACCUCACGCUAUCAGAUGAGCCUAGGUCGGAUUAGCUAGUUGGUGGGGUAAAGGCCUACCAAGGCGACGAUCCGUAACUGGUCUGAGAGGGUGAUCAGUCACACUGGAACUGAGACACGGUCCAGACUCCUACGGGAGGCAGCAGUGGGGAAUAUUGGACAAUGGGCGAAAGCCUGAUCCAGCCAUGCCGCGUGUGUGAAGAAGGUCUUCGGAUUGUAAAGCACUUUUAGUAGGGAGGAAGGGCAGUAAGAUAAUACCUUGCUGUUUUGACGUUACCAACAGAAUAAGCACCGGCUAACUUCGUG
Molecule: ribosomal RNA, 484 nt
Filed under: uncultured bacterium
Lineage: Bacteria
Description: partial 16S ribosomal RNA
Rfam family: Bacterial small subunit ribosomal RNA
Source: RNAcentral